GACGAACGCUGGCGGCGUGCCUAAUACAUGCAAGUAGAACGCUGAAGGAGGAGCUUGCUUCUCUGGAUGAGUUGCGAACGGGUGAGUAACGCGUAGGUAACCUGCCUGGUAGCGGGGGAUAACUAUUGGAAACGAUAGCUAAUACCGCAUAAGAGUAGAUGUUGCAUGACAUUUGCUUAAAAGGUGCAAUUGCAUCACUACCAGAUGGACCUGCGUUGUAUUAGCUAGUUGGUGGGGUAACGGCUCACCAAGGCGACGAUACAUAGCCGACCUGAGAGGGGGAGGGGCCAGACUGGGACAGAGACACGGAACAGACGACUAAGGGAGGCAGCAGUAGGGAAGAGUAGGAAAUGGACGUAAGUCUGAAAGAGAAACGAGGAGGGAGAGAAGAAGGGUGUAGGAUAGAAAAGCUCGGUUGUAAGAGAAGAAAGAGGGAGAGAGUGGAAAGUUCACACUGUGACGGUAUCUUACCAGAAAGGGACGGCUAACUACGUG
RNAcentral lists this ribosomal RNA (495 nucleotides) under uncultured bacterium. RNAcentral describes it as "partial 16S ribosomal RNA". It matches the Rfam family "Bacterial small subunit ribosomal RNA", at positions 28 to 507 of the family's 1533-position model. The record is from RNAcentral.